This is a long non-coding RNA of Dama dama (fallow deer), 821 nucleotides long. RefSeq lists it as uncharacterized. The transcript has 3 exons. The record is from RefSeq and is a predicted model, not a curated record. Lineage: Eukaryota; Metazoa; Chordata; Mammalia; Artiodactyla; Cervidae.
UUAAUUAUCCCCCUGUCUUGCAGAACAGCAAAUGCUGGGAAUAGACCAGACCCUUUGACACCCAAGUCUUGUGAACUAGGAGACAGAGCCUAGAAGAGUGAGGUCAGCUUUUCACUGUGGCCUGGUUUUCUCCUCUUCUCUGGAUAAGUGAGAUAACUCAUGGAGCUUCAUGAAUGCUCAGUAGACCUCCUACCUAUAAAUAAUGGGAGAUUUUUCAAUAUUCAGAGAAAAGAAUGAGGAGACCUGAGGGAGAACUAAACAUGGAUCUUCUGCUGUGCAUGGAAAUGAUGAUUUUCAUAAAAUAAAUAUACAUGCAAUAAAGCCCAGAGAUAUAAAUGCAGAAAUGAAUAACAAGCUCAAGACUCUAGGUUCAUCCACAUCACUACAGAUGACCCAAUUUUGUUGCUUUUAUGGCUGAGUGAUAUUCCAUCGCAAGGGCUUACCAGGUGGCACAGUGGUAAAGAAUCCACCUGCCUGGCGCAGGAGAUGCAGUUUCGACCCCUGGGUCAGGAAGAUCCCUUGGAGUAGGAAAUGGAAACCCGUGCCAGUAUUCUUGUCUGGAAAAUUCCAUGGACAGAGGAGAAUGGAAGGCUACAGUCCAUGGGGUUGCAAAGAGCUGGACAUGACUGAGUGACUCAGCAAGCCCUCAAUAUUCCAUUGUAAAUAUGGACCACAUUUUCUUUAUCCAUUCAUCUGCUGAUGGACGUGUCAUACUGCUCCCAUGUCUGGCUGUUGUAAAUAGUGCUGCGACGAACACUGGGGUACAUGUGUCUUUUUGAAUUGUGAGUAGCACUGACAUAUAUAUGCUACCAUGUGUAAAA